CUUAUACUCCCUCCGUACAAAAAUACUUGUCAUAAGAAUAGAUGUAGCUAGUUGCAUUUUAGUUUUAGAUACGUUCAUUUUUAGUCAUUUAUGCGACAAGUAAUUUUGGACGGAGGAAAUAUUUA
This 125-nucleotide microRNA precursor is filed under the name Hordeum vulgare. Its description in RNAcentral is "microRNA MIR1122". It matches the Rfam family "MIR1120/MIR1122 microRNA precursor family". Lineage: Eukaryota; Viridiplantae; Streptophyta; Magnoliopsida; Poales; Poaceae. The record is from RNAcentral.